GACGAACGCUGGCGGCGUGCUUAACACAUGCAAGUCGAGCGAAGCACUUGGAACCGAUCCUUCGGGUGAAGUUCCAUUUGACUGAGCGGCGGACGGGUGAGUAACGCGUGGGUAACCUGCCUCAUACAGGGGAAUAACAGUUUGAAAAGACUGCUAAUGCCGCAUAAGCGCACAGGGCCGCAUGGCCCGGUGUGAAAAACUCCGGUGGUAUGAGAUGGACCCGCGUCUGAUUAGCUAGUUGGUGAGGUAACGGCCCACCAAGGCGACGAGCAGUAGCCGACCUGAGAGGGUGACCGGCCACAUUGGGACUGGGACACGGCCCAAACUCCUACGGGAGGCAGCAGUGGGGAAUAUUGCACAAUGGGGGAAACCCUGAUGCAGCGACGCCGCGUGGAUGAAGAAGUAUUUCGGUAUGUAAAGUCCUAUCAGCAGGGAAGAAAAUGACAGUACCUGACUAAGAAGCCCCGGCUAACUACGUGCCAGCCGCCGCGGUAA
This 495-nucleotide ribosomal RNA is filed under the name uncultured bacterium. Its description in RNAcentral is "partial 16S ribosomal RNA". It matches the Rfam family "Bacterial small subunit ribosomal RNA", at positions 28 to 523 of the family's 1533-position model. The record is from RNAcentral.